UCAAUGUAACAGUGACAGGUUUAGGUUACUGUCAUUCAUAUUCACCCAGUUCAAUGUAACAGUAAUAGGUUUAGGUUACUGUCAUUCAUAUUCCAUUCACCCAGUUCAAUGUAACAGUGAUAGGUUUAGGAUACUGUCAUUCAUAUUCCAUUCAGGCAGUUCAAUGUAACAGUGACAGGUUUAGGUUACUGUCAUUCAUAUUCACCCAGUUCAAUGUAACAGUAAUAGGUUUAGGUUACUGUCAUUCAUAUUCCAUUCACCCAGUUCAAUGUAACAGUGAUAGGUUUAGGUUACUGUCAUUCAUAUUCCAUCCACCCAGUUCAAUGUAACAGUAAUAGGUUUAGGUUACUGUCAUUCAUAUUCUCCCAGCUCAAUGUAACAGUGAUAGGUUUAGGUUACUGUCAUUCAUAUUCCAUCCAGGCAGUUCAAUGUAACAGUGAUAGGUUUAGGUUACUGUCAUUCAUAUUCCAUUCAGGCAGUUCAAUGUAACAGUGAUAGGUUUAGGUUACUGUCAUUCAUAUUCCAUUCAGGCAGUUCAAUGUAACAGUAAUAGGUUUAGGUUACUGUCAUUCAUAUUCCAUUCAGGCAGUUCAAUGUAACAGUAAUAGGUUUAGGUUACUGUCAUUCAUAUUCCAUUCAGGCAGUUCAAUGUAACAGUAAUAGGUUUAGGUUACUGUCAUUCAUAUUCCAUUCAGGCAGUUCAAUGUAACAGUAAUAGGUUUAGGUUACUGUCAUUCAUAUUCCAUUCAGGCAGUUCAAUGUAACAGUAAUAGGUUUAGGUUACUGUCAUUCAUAUUCCAUUCAGGCAGUUCAAUGUAACAGUAAUAGGUUUAGGUUACUGUCAUUCAUAUUCCAUUCAGGCAGUUCAAUGUAACAGUAAUAGGUUUAGGUUACUGUCAUUCAUAUUCCAUUCAGGCAGUUCAAUGUAACAGUAAUAGGUUUAGGUUACUGUCAUUCAUAUUCCAUUCAGGCAGUUCAAUGUAACAGUAAUAGGUUUAGGUUACUGUCAUUCAUAUUCCAUUCAGGCAGUUCAAUGUAACAGUGAUAGGUUUAGGUUACUGUCAUUCAUAUUCCAUUCACCCAGUUCAAUGUAACAGUGAUAGGUUUAGGUUACUGUCAUUCAUAUUCCAUUCACCCAGUUCAAUGUAACAGUGAUAGGUUUAGGUUACUGUCAUUCAUAUUCACCCAGUUCAAUGUAACAGUGAUAAGUUUAGGUUACUGUCAUUCAUAUUCACCCAGUUCAAUGUAACAGUGAUAGGUUUAGGUUACUGUCAUUCAUAUUCUCCCAGUUCAAUGUAACAGUGAUAGGUUUAGGUUACUGUCAUUCAUAUUCCAUUCAGGCAGUUCAAUGUAACAGUAAUAGGUUUAGGUUACUGUCAUUCAUAUUCCAUUCAGGCAGUUCAAUGUAACAGUAAUAGGUUUAGGUUACUGUCAUUCAUAUUCCAUUCAGGCAGUUCAAUGUAACAGUGAUAGGUUUAGGUUACUGUCAUUCAUAUUCCAUUCACCCAGUUCAAUGUAACAGUGAUAGGUUUAGGUUACUGUCAUUCAUAUUCCAUUCACCCAGUUCAAUGUAACAGUGAUAGGUUUAGGUUACUGUCAUUCAUAUUCCAUUCACCCAGUUCAAUGUAACAGUGAUAGGUUUAGGUUACUGUCAUUCAUAUUCACCCAGUUCAAUGUAACAGUGAUAGGUUUAGGUUACUGUCAUUCAUAUUCACCCAGUUCAAUGUAACAGUGAUAGGUUUAGGUUA
This is a long non-coding RNA of Oncorhynchus keta (chum salmon), 1748 nucleotides long. RefSeq lists it as uncharacterized. The transcript is spliced from 5 exons. The record is from RefSeq and is a predicted model, not a curated record. NCBI's taxonomy places the organism in Eukaryota, Metazoa, Chordata, Actinopteri, Salmoniformes, Salmonidae.